This is a long non-coding RNA of Haplochromis burtoni (Burton's mouthbrooder), 1669 nucleotides long. RefSeq lists it as uncharacterized. NCBI's taxonomy places the organism in Eukaryota, Metazoa, Chordata, Actinopteri, Cichliformes, Cichlidae. The record is from RefSeq and is a predicted model, not a curated record. The transcript is spliced from 2 exons.
CAACAUCCUUUGAGCAGUAUAUCCACUAUCUCUCCUCUGCACAUGUCCAAAACAUCUCAGCUUUUCCUCUUUGUCUCCAAACCGCCCACCCUGAGCUGUCCCUCCGAUGUGCUAAUUUCAGCCUUGGCCAUCCCAAUGAAAAUCUUAACAUCUUCAACUCUGCCAUCUCCAGCUCAGCUUCCUGUCUUUUUAUCAAAGCCUUUAUCUCCAAAACCAUACAUCAUAGCAGGUCACCAACAUCGCCUGCUAGUCUUCUGUCACAAAUCACCCCUGAAACUCGUCUCCACCCCCUGGCUACGCUCUCUGCUUCACCUCUCUUGCGACUGUCCGUUGCUUUGGAUGGUUGACCCCAGUUAUUUACACUCAUAGACUCUUUCUACUCUUUGUAUGUUCUCUCUUGCUUCUCCUGACUUAAGACUUUAUUGACUUAUUAUUGAUUAAAGCUACAAACUGUCCUUUUGGUCACAAAGUAAAGAUUUUGGGGGAAGUCAUCCAUGGAGGCCAAACACGCCUUUCUUGGGCAAACGUGCCUGAAAGCCAAAACUCCGGGUUAGAAAAUCACACGUGUUUUCUUUUCCCCCUUGCACGUUCGCUUUUUGUGUAGGGCGGGGCGUGUGGAGCUCUCCGAGUUCCUCCGAUCUGUUCCGAUCUUCGCCGAUCUUCUACCCCCGGUGGUAAGGUCGCUGUUUGUGCUGCGUGUUCUCCUCACAUCCGCACAGUCUGUCUCCGACCGAGCUCCCAUCAUGGUGGACAUCUUGGUGUUGAUGUUUUUCGCCGUUAUGGGCCUCGUCUUCCUCUCCUACAUCAUCUACAUGCUGUGAUGAAGAUGCGUCCUGGUCAGGCGGUGCUGGAGCCUAACGGAGGAUGUUUGUUUUUCCUCUCCUGCAUCCCCGGUUUACGCCACAAACAGAGGGAGUAGAGCCACGGCCAGGCCAUGAUGGUUCCCUUUGGAGCUUUCAUGUGGGGAUGAGAGGAGCGAUCCAGGCAAGAGAGGAAAAACAAAUGGAGAAGAAGUGGAAGCCAAACUGUUUUGCACUCUGCAAUCAUUCCCCUCCUUCCUUCUUUGGAACAGUCAGAUCUGACCAGGAUGCCCAAACAGAAAUUUUAACCCUCAUCAUCAUUUUCUGUGGUACUUCUGUGUCAGUAUUACUGUUUAGAGGAGUAGCGAUGUUACCUGCACAUAAGGAUCCAGGAUGGCAUUCAUAAAGGUGUAGAAUUUGCCUUUUUUUUUUUUCACGAUGUGAGAUUAUUUUAUUUUAUUUUAUUUUUAAGGAUGGAUUUGAUUUGAAGUGUUCAGUUUGACAGUAUUAUCCAGAUGUUUUAUCAGCUCUUUUUGCACAGGUUUGUGUUUCAGCAAUCCGUUGGAGAGCCUCAGUCACUAUACUUUCCUUCUCACUGUAAUCAUCAUUGUCCACUAAAUUAAGAGGAAUGGAAAGGUAUUUGUUGCACUAUAUCAGUUGCUUUAAUGUUCUGAAGCUUUGCAACUACAUUGCUCUUUUUCUGUUUUUGUCCUUAUUUUUUUUUGGCCACAGAUGACAUCCACAAAGAGGUGUUGUUUGUGUAUAUCUGAGUUUCAUACUAUCUGUUAUUUUUAAAUAAUGUUCACUGAUGCACACACAAUUUUCUGAUAAUCGUGAAAUGUCAAAUAAAGAUGAUUCCAGUAAACCCA